AUGGCGGCACAGCAAUCGUCCCUGAGCACUCAGCUCUUCCCAGGCAGAAGGCUGCUCCCUUCCCUGGCUCUCUGGGCCACCAACGCAGCCACACAGCACUAACAACCUCUUCACAAAGAAUUUGCAAGGCACAGUCCACAGGAUGUCUCUACUCCAGCUUCAUUGCCAUCUGCAAGGAUCUCAGAGGCUCUGACGGGCCACCCAAAGGUUCAGUCACCAAAACUCAGGAAGUCAGGUAGAACCUGCAGGAAGAGGACAAAGGGCUGGCAAAGAUCACUCACUCGGAGGAUAAAAACUUUCAAGAAGCUCUACUCUUUGGGGAGACCCGUUGGGGAGGAAAUGAAACCUCUUUCCUGCAGCCACGUGACUGGGCCACCUUAGCAGCAGGACUUUCAGAGGACUUCGUCCCAGCUAAGAUCAUGCCUGCACCAUCAGGAGAAACCUCAAGCCAGAACCACCCAGGAAGCUGCGCCCAAAUUCCUGACCCACAGAAACUGGGUCCCUGAAUGCUGUCCUGCCUAAAAAAACACUCUACCCUGACCGCCAAAGGCCACCCUACAAGUCAGCCAGAGAGUGUCCCCCUCCCAGUGGCCACUCCUGUGCUCCUCGGGGACGCAGUUUUACCAGAGGAAACUGAGAUGCAGGGAGACGAAGUGACUUGCCCACCAGCACACGGCCUGUGAUCAGCAGAGCCAGGAUUCCAACACCGGCCUGCCUUCCUGAAAAUGGAUGUUCUUUCUGCUAAACCACAGAUCAGCUUCAGGGAUUAUCAUGUGGAAGAGGGGGAUUAGCCACCCAAGGAUACUCUUCAUCGCAUUGCCGGCCAAACUCCAUCUCUUUUCCCACAACCAGAAUAGUUCCAUGAAGCAGCCCGUCUCGUCCGAGCAGCCCUCAGCCCUGAGGAAGAUGCAGGACAAGGGAUGGGGCAUGUGCAAGCUUCCUGAUGCUCAAUCCUCAGAGGAUGAAGAGUCCCAGAGGAAAUUUCCCUUUAGGAAAGGAGUGUUCUGGCCAUGGUGGGGGGAGGGUACAUCUGUAAGUCAUAUAACAAA
This is a long non-coding RNA of Fukomys damarensis (Damara mole-rat), 1049 nucleotides long. RefSeq lists it as uncharacterized. Lineage: Eukaryota; Metazoa; Chordata; Mammalia; Rodentia; Bathyergidae. The transcript has 5 exons. The record is from RefSeq and is a predicted model, not a curated record.